GAUGAACGCUGGCGGCGUGCCUAAUACAUGCAAGUCGAGCGAACGGACGAGAAGCUUGCUUCUCUGAUGUUAGCGGCGGACGGGUGAGUAACACGUGGAUAACCUACCUAUAAGACUGGGAUAACUUCGGGAAACCGUAGCUAAUACCGGAUAAUAUUUUGAACCGCAUGGUUCAAAAGUGAAAGACGGUCUUGCUGUCACUUAUAGAUGGAUCCGCGCUGCAUUAGCUAGUUGGUAAGGUAACGGCUUACCAAGGCAACGAUGCAUAGCCGACCUGAGAGGGUGAUCGGCCAGACUGGAACUGAGACACGGUCCAGACUACUACGGGAGGCAGCAGUAGGGAAUCUUCCGCAAUGGGCGAAAGCCUGACGGAGCAACGCCGCGUGAGUGAUGAAGGUCUUCGGAUCGUAAAACUCUGUUAUUAGGGAAGAACAUAUGUGUAAGUAACUGUGCACAUCUUGACGGUACCUAAUCAGAAAGCCACGGCUAACUACGUG
RNAcentral lists this ribosomal RNA (497 nucleotides) under uncultured bacterium. RNAcentral describes it as "partial 16S ribosomal RNA". It matches the Rfam family "Bacterial small subunit ribosomal RNA", at positions 28 to 507 of the family's 1533-position model. The record is from RNAcentral.